GACGAACGCUGGCGGCGUGCCUAAUACAUGCAAGUAGAACGCUGAAGGAGGAGCUUGCUUCUCUGGAUGAGUUGCGAACGGGUGAGUAACGCGUAGGUAACCUGCCUGGUAGUGGGGGAUAACUAUUGGAAACGAUAGCUAAUACCGCAUAAUAUUGACUAUUGCAUGAUAGUCAGUUGAAAGGUGCAACUGCACCACUACCAAAUGGACCUGCGUUGUAUUAGCUAGUUGGUGGGGUAACGGCUCACCAAGGCGACGAUACAUAGCCGACCUGAGAGGGUGAUCGGCCACACUGGGACUGAGACACGGCCCAGACUCCUACGGGAGGCAGCAGUAGGGAAUCUUCGGCAAUGGACGGAAGUCUGACCGAGCAACGCCGCGUGAGUGAAGAAGGUUUUCGGAUCGUAAAGCUCUGUUGUAAGAGAAGAACGAGUGUGAGAGUGGAAAGCUCACACUGUGACGGUAGCUUACCAGAAAGGGACGGCUAACUACGUG
RNAcentral lists this ribosomal RNA (495 nucleotides) under uncultured bacterium. RNAcentral's name for it is "partial 16S ribosomal RNA". It matches the Rfam family "Bacterial small subunit ribosomal RNA", at positions 28 to 507 of the family's 1533-position model. The record is from RNAcentral.